GAGGGUAUAGCUCAGUGGUAGAGCAUACAUACUCAGCAUGCACGAGGUCCUGGGUUCAAUCCCCGAUACCUCCA
Molecule: transfer RNA, 74 nt
Filed under: Camelus bactrianus (Bactrian camel)
Lineage: Eukaryota; Metazoa; Chordata; Mammalia; Artiodactyla; Camelidae
Also listed under: 2 other names
Rfam family: tRNA
About the family: Transfer RNA (tRNA) molecules are approximately 80 nucleotides in length. Their secondary structure includes four short double-helical elements and three loops (D, anti-codon, and T loops). Further hydrogen bonds mediate the characteristic L-shaped molecular structure. tRNAs have two regions of fundamental functional importance: the anti-codon, which is responsible for specific mRNA codon recognition, and the 3' end, to which the tRNAs corresponding amino acid is attached (by aminoacyl-tRNA synthetases). tRNAs cope with the degeneracy of the genetic code in two manners: having more than one tRNA (with a specific anti-codon) for a particular amino acid; and 'wobble' base-pairing, i.e. permitting non-standard base-pairing at the 3rd anti-codon position.
Source: Rfam by way of RNAcentral